Molecule: ribosomal RNA, 250 nt
Filed under: uncultured bacterium
Lineage: Bacteria
Description: partial 16S ribosomal RNA
Rfam family: Bacterial small subunit ribosomal RNA
Source: RNAcentral
UACGUAGGGUGCGAGCGUUAAUCGGAAUUACUGGGCGUAAAGGGAGCGCAGGCGGAUAUAUAAGUUAGAUGUGAAAUCCCCGGGCUUAACCUGGGAACGGCAUUUAAGACUGUGUAUCUAGAGUUUAUUAGAGGGGGGUAGAAUUCCAGGUGUAGCAGUGAAAUGCGUAGAGAUCUGGAGGAAUACCGGUGGCGAAGGCGGCCCCCUGGGAUAGAACUGACGCUCAUGCUCGAAAGCGUGGGUAGCAAAC